GAUGAACGCUGGCGGCGUGCCUAAUACAUGCAAGUCGAGCGAACGGACGAGAAGCUUGCUUCUCUGAUGUUAGCGGCGGACGGGUGAGUAACACGUGGAUAACCUACCUAUAAGACUGGGAUAACUUCGGGAAACCGGAGCUAAUACCGGAUAAUAUUUUGAACCGCAUGGUUCAAAAGUGAAAGACGGUCUUUCUGUCACUUAUAGAUGGAUCUGCGCUGCAUUAGCUAGUUGGUAAGGUAACGGCUUACCAAGGCAACGAUGCAUAGCCGACCUGAGAGGGGGAUCGGCCACACUGGAACUGAGACACGGUCCAGACUACUACGGGAGGCAGUAGUAGGGAAUCUUACGCAAUGGGCGAAAGCCUGACGGAGCAACGCAGCGUGAGAGAUGAAGGUCUUCGGAUCGUAAAACUCUGUUAUUAGGGAAGAACAUAUGUGUAAGUAACUGUGCACAUCUUGACGGUAACUAAUCAGAAAGCCACGGCUAACUACGUG
RNAcentral lists this ribosomal RNA (497 nucleotides) under uncultured bacterium. RNAcentral's name for it is "partial 16S ribosomal RNA". It matches the Rfam family "Bacterial small subunit ribosomal RNA", at positions 28 to 507 of the family's 1533-position model. The record is from RNAcentral.